Molecule: non-coding RNA, 74 nt
Organism: Myotis davidii
Lineage: Eukaryota; Metazoa; Chordata; Mammalia; Chiroptera; Vespertilionidae
Source: Rfam
CGGGAGGGGGGGGUGUCCCUCAGCCUGGAUUGCAAGAGGGCGCAGGCCAGGCCGAGGGGCCCCACCAGUGCACA